RNAcentral lists this transfer RNA (66 nucleotides) under Curculionoidea sp. 30 KM-2017. RNAcentral's name for it is "tRNA-Leu". It matches the Rfam family "tRNA". Rfam says of the family: Transfer RNA (tRNA) molecules are approximately 80 nucleotides in length. Lineage: Eukaryota; Metazoa; Arthropoda; Insecta; Coleoptera. The record is from RNAcentral.
UCUAAUAUGGCAGAAUAGUGCAUUGGACUUAAACCCCAAAUAUAAAGGCCCCCCCUUUUAUUAGAA